GGCCGCCUGGCGAAAUGGCAUCGCGUCUGACUACGAUCGACCACGUGAUAUCGAUCAGGUCACGUGAUCUCAAUCAGGAGAUUGCAGGUUCGACCCCUGCGGUGGUCA
This is a non-coding RNA of Mycena albidolilacea, 108 nucleotides long. NCBI's taxonomy places the organism in Eukaryota, Fungi, Basidiomycota, Agaricomycetes, Agaricales, Mycenaceae. The record is from the annotation of a GenBank genome assembly.